This 253-nucleotide ribosomal RNA is filed under the name uncultured bacterium. RNAcentral's name for it is "partial 16S ribosomal RNA". It matches the Rfam family "Bacterial small subunit ribosomal RNA", at positions 524 to 776 of the family's 1533-position model. The record is from RNAcentral.
UACAGAGGAUGCAAGCGUUAUCCGGAAUGAUUGGGCGUAAAGCGUCUGUAGGUGGCUUUUUAAGUCCGCCGUCAAAUCCCAGGGCUCAACUCUGGACAGGCGGUGGAAACUACCAAGCUGGAGUACGGUAGGAGCAGAGGGAAUUUCCGGUGGAGCGGUGAAAUGCGUAGAGAUCGGAAAGAACACCAACGGCGAAGGCGGGUUACUGGGCUGAUACUGACGCUGAUGCGCGAAAGCCAGGGGAGCAAACGGG